Molecule: ribosomal RNA, 621 nt
Filed under: uncultured bacterium
Lineage: Bacteria
Description: bacterial SSU rRNA
Rfam family: Bacterial small subunit ribosomal RNA
Source: RNAcentral
GGUAACGGCUCACCAUGGCGUCGACGGGUAGCUGGUCUGAGAGGAUGGUCAGCCGGACUGGGACUGAGAUACGGCCCAGACUCCUACGGGGGGCAGCAAUUAGGAAUCUUGCGCAAUGGGCGAAAGCCUGACGCAGCGACGCCGCGUGGAGGAGGAAGGCCUUCGGGUUGUAAACUCCUUUUAGGUGGGAAGAAACAAAUGACGGUACCACCAGAAUAAGCCCCGGCUAACUCCGUGCCAGCAGCCGCGGUAAUACGGAGGGGGCGAGCGUUGUCCGAAGUUACUGGGCGUAAAGCGCGCGUAGGUGGGUUGGCAAGUCCGCUGUGAAAGGCCGGGGCUUAACUCCGGAGGGUCGGUGGAUACUGCCAGUCUUGAAGGUGCUAGGGGGAGAUGGAAUUACCGGUGUAGCGGUGAAAUGCGUAGAUAUCGGUAGGAACACCAGUGGCGAAGGCGGUCUCCUGGGGCAUUCUUGACGCUGAUGCGCGAAAGCUGGGGGAGCGAACGGGAUUAGAUACCCCGGUAGUCCCAGCCCUAAACGAUGGAUACUAGGUGUCAGGGGUAUCGACCCCCUUGGUGCCGCAGCUAACGCAGUAAGUAUCCCGCCUGGGGAGUACGGCCGCA